This 407-nucleotide ribosomal RNA is filed under the name uncultured eukaryote. RNAcentral's name for it is "bacterial SSU rRNA". It matches the Rfam family "Eukaryotic small subunit ribosomal RNA", at positions 638 to 1038 of the family's 1831-position model. The record is from RNAcentral.
CUCUCGGGGUGAUCAAUUUGUUGUUAUAUCUCCACUAAUGAGCAGAGAGGGGUAAAACUCUCAAAGUAAGUUUUGUGGGUCAAGGUAUGGUGAUGAAUUGGAGUUCUAGUUCAUUUACUUUGAGAAAAUUAGAGUGUUUAAAGCAGCCUCUUGGGGCACUGAAUACAUUAGCAUGGGAUAAUAAAAUAGGAUCUUUACAAUAUAUUUUAUUGGUUUAAAUUGAAAUAAAGAUAAUGAUUAAUAGGGACAGUUGGGGGUAUUCAUAUUGGGUGGUUAGCGGUGAAAUGCUCGGAUCCAUUCAAGAUGAACUAAAGCGAAAGCAUUUACCAAGGAUGUUUUCAUUAAUCAAGAACGAAAGUUAAGGGAUCGAAGACGAUUAGAUACCGUCGUAGUCUUAACUAUAAACU